RNAcentral lists this transfer RNA (73 nucleotides) under Candidatus Fibrimonadales bacterium. RNAcentral describes it as "tRNA-Met". It matches the Rfam family "tRNA". From Rfam's summary of the family: Transfer RNA (tRNA) molecules are approximately 80 nucleotides in length. RNAcentral also lists the same sequence under 2 other names. Lineage: Bacteria; Pseudomonadati; Fibrobacterota; Fibrobacteria; Candidatus Fibrimonadales. The record is from RNAcentral.
AGCGGGGUGGAGCAGUUGGCAGCUCGUCGGGCUCAUAACCCGAAGGUCGUAGGUUCAAGUCCUACCCCCGCAA